Molecule: ribosomal RNA, 430 nt
Filed under: uncultured bacterium
Lineage: Bacteria
Description: bacterial SSU rRNA
Rfam family: Bacterial small subunit ribosomal RNA
Source: RNAcentral
UGAGGAAUAUUGCGCAAUGGGGGAAACCCUGACGCAGCGACGCCGUGUGAGCGAUGAAGGCCUUCGGGUCGUAAAGCUCUGUCAGAGGGGAAGAAAGGGGAUAUGGUUAAUACCCAUGUCCAUUGACGGUACCCUUUGAGGAAGCACCGGCUAACUCCGUGCCAGCAGCCGCGGUAAUACGGAGGGUGCGAGUGUUAUUCGGAAUCACUGGGCGUAAAGAGCACGUAGGCGGAUCGGUAAGUCAGAUGUGAAAUCCCGGAGCUCAACUCCGGAACUGCAUUUGAUACUGCCAGUCUUGAGUGAGGUAGAGGGGGGUGGAAUUCCCGGUGUAGAGGUGAAAUUCGUAGAUAUCAGGAAGAACACCUGCAGCGAAGGCGGCGCUCUGGGCUGGAACUGACGCUGAGGAGCGAAAGCGUGGGUAGCAAACAGG